This 482-nucleotide ribosomal RNA is filed under the name uncultured bacterium. RNAcentral describes it as "partial 16S ribosomal RNA". It matches the Rfam family "Bacterial small subunit ribosomal RNA", at positions 30 to 507 of the family's 1533-position model. The record is from RNAcentral.
AUUGAACGCUGGCGGCAUGCUUUACACAUGCAAGUCGAACGGUAACAGGCCGCAAGGUGCUGACGAGUGGCGAACGGGUGAGUAAUGCAUCGGAACGUGCCCAGUCGUGGGGGAUAACUACUCGAAAGAGUAGCUAAUACCGCAUACGAUCUAUGGAUGAAAGCGGGGGACCGUAAGGCCUCGCGCGAUUGGAGCGGCCGAUGUCAGAUUAGGUAGUUGGUGGGGUAAAGGCUCACCGAGCCAACGAUCUGUAGCUGGUCUGAGAGGACGACCAGCCACACUGGGACUGAGACACGGCCCAGACUCCUACGGGAGGCAGCAGUGGGGAAUUUUGGACAAAGGGCGCAAGCCUGAUCCAGCAAUGCCGCGUGCAGGAAGAAGGCCUUCGGGUUGUAAACUGCUUUUGUACGGAACGAAACGGCUCUGGUUAAUACCCGGGGCUAAUGACGGUACCGUAAGAAUAAGCACCGGCUAACUACGUG